This 490-nucleotide ribosomal RNA is filed under the name Escherichia coli. RNAcentral describes it as "partial 23S ribosomal RNA". It matches the Rfam family "Bacterial large subunit ribosomal RNA", at positions 1394 to 1869 of the family's 2925-position model. Lineage: Bacteria; Pseudomonadati; Pseudomonadota; Gammaproteobacteria; Enterobacterales; Enterobacteriaceae. The record is from RNAcentral.
AGGCGAGGCCGAAAGGCGUAGUCGAUGGGAAACAGGUUAAUAUUCCUGUACUUGGUGUUACUGCGAAGGGGGGACGGAGAAGGCUAUGUUGGCCGGGCGACGGUUGUCCCGGUUUAAGCGUGUAGGCUGGUUUUCCAGGCAAAUCCGGAAAAUCAAGGCUGAGGCGUGAUGACGAGGCACUACGGUGCUGAAGCAACAAAUGCCCUGCUUCCAGGAAAAGCCUCUAAGCAUCAGGUAACAUCAAAUCGUACCCCAAACCGACACAGGUGGUCAGGUAGAGAAUACCAAGGCGCUUGAGAGAACUCGGGUGAAGGAACUAGGCAAAAUGGUGCCGUAACUUCGGGAGAAGGCACGCUGAUAUGUAGGUGAAGUCCCUCGCGGAUGGAGCUGAAAUCAGUCGAAGAUACCAGCUGGCUGCAACUGUUUAUUAAAAACACAGCACUGUGCAAACACGAAAGUGGACGUAUACGGUGUGACGCCUGCCCGGUGC